Molecule: small RNA, 507 nt
Filed under: uncultured Paraglomus
Lineage: Eukaryota; Fungi; Glomeromycota; Glomeromycetes; Paraglomerales; Paraglomeraceae
Description: SSU rRNA
Rfam family: Eukaryotic small subunit ribosomal RNA
Source: RNAcentral
AGCAGCCGCGGUAAUUCCAGCUCCAAUAGCGUAUAUUAAAGUUGUUGUGGUUAAAAAGCUCGUAGUUGAACCUUGGGCCUGGCUGGCCGGUCCGCCUCACCGCGUGUACUGGUCCGGCCGGGCCUUUCCCUCUGUGGAACCCCAUGCCCUUCACUGGGUGUGGCGGGGAAACAGGACUUUUACUUUGAAAAAUUAGAGUGCUCCAGGCAGGCCUAUGCUCGAAUACAUUAGCAUGGAAUAAUAGAAUAGGACGCGUGGUUCUAUUUUGUUGGUUUCUAGGACCGCCGUAAUGAUUAAUAGGGACAGUCGGGGGCAUCAGUAUUCAAUUGUCAGAGGUGAAAUUCUUGGAUUUAUUGAAGACUAACUACUGCGAAAGCAUUUGCCAAGGAUGUUUUCAUUAAUCAGGAACGAAAGUUAGGGGAUCGAAGACGAUCAGAUACCGUCGUAGUCUUAACCAUAAACUAUGCCGACUAGGGAUCGGACGAUGUUACUAUUGACUUCGUUCGG